GGAGACGGAAAGGACUGACAGACUGACAGCUCUUUCUUGAUUCUGUGGCUGGUGCUGUGUGGCUGCUCUUAGUUGGCGAAGCAAUUUGUCAUGCUAAUUCUGCUAAUGGCGUCACAUCCAGUUAUGUCCAAACUGCCUCCCUAGAGAAGCCAGACUGGCUCCCUCCUUGCCGUCCUUCCACCGGAGACUGAAGACUGCUUUAUUCUGACAGGCCUUUCAGAACCGACUGCCUUUUAAGGAAAUGGCUUUAAAUAGUGCCGUGCUGUUUUUAUUAUCUGUAUUUCAAUAAUUUUUUUUUAUUGUUUUAAUUCUGUUAGAGUUUAAACACUUUUUGAUAGUUAUCAUUUAUAUGUUUUUAGCU
Podarcis lilfordi (Lilford's wall lizard) is the source of this 361-nucleotide non-coding RNA. NCBI's taxonomy places the organism in Eukaryota, Metazoa, Chordata, Lepidosauria, Squamata, Lacertidae. The record is from the annotation of a GenBank genome assembly.